UGGGGAAUAUUGGACAAUGGGCGCAAGCCUGAUCCAGCCAUACCGCGUGGGUGAAGAAGGCCUUCGGGUUGUAAAGCCCUUUUGUUGGGAAAGAAAUCCAGCUGGUUAAUACCCGGUUGGGAUGACGGUACCCAAAGAAUAAGCACCGGCUAACUUCGUGCCAGCAGCCGCGGUAAUACGAAGGGUGCAAGCGUUACUCGGAAUUACUGGGCGUAAAGCGUGCGUAGGUGGUCGUUUAAGUCCGUUGUGAAAGCCCUGGGCUCAACCUGGGAACUGCAGUGGAUACUGGGCGACUAGAAUGUGGUAGAGGGUAGCGGAAUUCCUGGUGUAGCAGUGAAAUGCGUAGAGAUCAGGAGGAACAUCCAUGGCGAAGGCAGCUACCUGGACCAACAUUGACACUGAGGCACGAAAGC
This 413-nucleotide ribosomal RNA is filed under the name uncultured bacterium. RNAcentral's name for it is "partial 16S ribosomal RNA". It matches the Rfam family "Bacterial small subunit ribosomal RNA", at positions 355 to 760 of the family's 1533-position model. The record is from RNAcentral.